GCAUAUCAAUAAGCGGAGGAAAAGAAACCAACAGGGAUUGCCCUAGUAACGGCGAGUGAAGCGGCAACAGCUCAAAUUUGAAAUCUGGCUCUCUUUGGGGGUCCGAGUUGUAAUUUGCAGAGGAUGCUUUGGCAUUGGCGGCGGUCUAAGUUCCUUGGAACAGGACAUCGCAGAGGGUGAGAAUCCCGUACGUGGGCGCCUGCCUUUGCCGUGUAAAGCUCCUUCGACGAGUCGAGUUGUUUGGGAAUGCAGCUCUAAAUGGGAGGUAAAUUUCUUCUAAAGCUAAAUACCGGCCAGAGACCGAUAGCGCACAAGUAGAGUGAUCGAAAGAUGAAAAGUACUUUGGAAAGAGAGUCAAAAAGCACGUGAAAUUGUUGAAAGGGAAGCGCUUGCAGCCAGACUUGCCCGCAGUUGCUCACCUAGGCUUUGGCCUGGGGCACUCUUCUGCGGGCAGGCCAGCAUCAGUUUGGGCGGUCGGACAAAGGCCUCUGUCAAGUAUCUCCCUUCGGGGUGACCUUAUAGGGGAGGCGUAAUGCGACCAGCCCGGACUGAGGUCCGCGCAUCUGCUAGGAUGCUGGCGUAAUGGCUGUAAGCGGCCCGUCUUGAAACACGGACCAAGGAGUCUAACAUCUAUGCGAGUGUUUGGGUGUCAAGCCCGGGCGCGCAAUGAAAGUGAACGGAGGUGGGAACCCUUUGGGUGCACCAUCGACCGAUCCUGAUGUCUUCGGAUGGAUUUGAGUAAGAGCAUAGCUGUUGGGACCCGAAAGAUGGUGAACUAUGCUUGAAUAGGGUGAAGCCAGAGGAAACUCUGGUGGAGGCUCGCAGCGGUUCUGACGUGCAAAUCGAUCGUCAAAUUUGGGCAUAGGGGCGAAAGACUAAUCGAACCAUCUAGUAGCUGGUUCCUGCCGAA
Molecule: ribosomal RNA, 910 nt
Filed under: Coniothyrium sp. CBS 122.76
Lineage: Eukaryota; Fungi; Ascomycota; Dothideomycetes; Pleosporales; Coniothyriaceae
Description: eukaryotic LSU rRNA
Rfam family: Eukaryotic large subunit ribosomal RNA
Source: RNAcentral